GCGGCGUACGGGUGCGGAACACGUGUGCACUAGCUUUAUCUGGGGGAUAGCCUUUCGAAAGGAAGAUAAUACCCAUAAUAUGUUGAAUGGCCAUCAUUCGACAUUGAAAACUCCGGUGGAUAGAGAUGGGCACGCGCAAGAUUAGAUAGUUGGUGAGGUAACGGUCACCAAGUCUACGAUCUUUAGGGGCCUGAAGGCGAUCCCCAACUGGUACUGAACACGGACCAACUCCUACGGGAGGCAGCAGUGAGGGAUAUUGGACAAUGGGUGAGAGCCUGAUCCAGCCAUCCCGCGUGAAGGACGACUGCCCUAUGGGUUGUAAACUUCUUUUAGCAGAGACGAAACGCCUCCAUUUAUGGGGGUCUGACGGUAUCUGCGGAAUAAGCACCGGUUAACUCCGGCCAGCAGCCGGGUAAUACGGAGGUGCAAGCGUUAUCCGGAAUCACUGGGUUAAGGUGCCGUUAAGGCGGGGGGGAUUAAAGUCCAGUGGGUGGAAAAGGCCUGGUAAGCUUAAACUAACAGAAAUUGGCCAUUGGAUCAUAGAAUUUAGCCCUUCGGAAAUUCGGGGUCAGAAGGUUAAACCGGACNANUGGUNCAACC
RNAcentral lists this ribosomal RNA (600 nucleotides) under uncultured bacterium. RNAcentral's name for it is "bacterial SSU rRNA". It matches the Rfam family "Bacterial small subunit ribosomal RNA", at positions 95 to 688 of the family's 1533-position model. The record is from RNAcentral.